Molecule: long non-coding RNA, 293 nt
Filed under: Gossypium raimondii (Peruvian cotton)
Lineage: Eukaryota; Viridiplantae; Streptophyta; Magnoliopsida; Malvales; Malvaceae
Description: long non-coding RNA (GRAI_LNC004982)
Source: RNAcentral
GGGGCGCGAGCAUGCUUACGUGGUGGGGAGCGGCGCCAAAGGGGUUAGGUUUUUUUUUUUGCUUUUUGAGAAUAGUGUAGAUUAUGGGCUAUUGGGCUUCGGGUUAUUAGGUAUUAGGUUUAGCACAUGGGUUGGGUUAUUGGACUCUUUUUUGUUUGGGCAUUGAUCUAUUUUGUAAAUGGACUUUUAUUUAUUUAUUGUUGUUUUGUUUAUUGGGCCGGUUAAAAUUGACUUGUUACACUAAUAAAAGCAAUGUAUUAAUGAUACCAGUUUGUGUAUACUCACAAGUCUAU